CACCUAUUCCUAUCUCCCAAAGCCCAGCAACCUCCCUCCCGGCGGCCCAUCUUUUCUCUCCUCCUCGAGCCCAUAUUCUUACCGUACCCGUUCGCAAGCGGAGACGCUCCUCCCUUCGUCUUUUUCCCCAGGCACACACGCAGGAGACGUGAGCCUUCACUGUCGAUGUCACCGAGCACUCACGCCUCUACCACCUGCUUCCUCUCCUCCUUUUAAUCCCCAUCGAGCCCAGGAAACCCUAGACGCGCCCUUCUACUCCCUCGCGCCGCCAUGUCUUUUUCCCCUUUGUUUUUUUGCUUCUCUGUGAACACCACCGUAUGUAUCCUCCUCAACCUCACCAUGGCGUCGCUGCUCCCGGCCACCCCUUGACGAGCUGAGGCCAUCUCCAGAACCGCCUCGACGUCCUCGUCAUCCUCCUCCAAGGAAUCAAGCCGGGGCUCUCCCAAUCGUUCCCAAAUUCGCCAAUUCCUUCUCCAGGUCCGGCGAGAAAAUCACCGAUUUCGGCGCUGUCCGUCCUCCUCCGGCCCGGAAGUGGCCUGCAACAUGUUCCUGAUGCUCAUCGUCGGGCUUCCUCCGGCGGUUCCCCGACGCCAAGACCUCCACCAACGAACUCCCCUUGGUCUUCCACUUCGAACGCGCAGACUCCCGCAUCCAGGCGCGCGCUCCGCUGCCAGAUCGAGGAUCGAUCUGCAACAUGGUUGCCACCGUCAAGUCCGGCCUACACUACUUCAUCUCAUCACGUGUCUGCUACUGUUCACCAAUCCUCUACCAGCCCACUGAUCUAGUGCUGGCCUUGGCCCGUAUCUCUCCCGGUGUAUCCAUCGCCCAACGCGCAGCAGGCCGCUAUCCUCCGCUGCCUCUACGCAGGUCCAGCCCAACUCGUCGCCUACACAUUUGUUUCUCUUUUAUUUUGCAGGAAAUGUUUGAAUCUUGCUAAAAUCAUAUUUUCUAAACCGUAACUCGAAAUAAAAUGAGUUAUAUAUGAAAAUUGAUCAGAAAAAUGUAAGAAACAUUAAUAUGCCAUCCAUAUGCCUGUUUGCAUCUUGCAUCAUGUCCAGCCGUGAUAGUUUGUGCAUUCACCUAAUAUGGAACUACGGAGUAUUUCGGAUAUCCAACAAGGAUUUCCUCGCUCCGUUUAAUAUUGAAGUAGCUCACCCCUGCCAUGUUAUGCCAUGCUAACAACCAUUUAACUUUGCCGGUAGAAAUGCAACUCGAACCUAAUAAUUGUGUGUCGGGAUUCCGAUUCCGCUUAAUAUGAAUAAGUUGCAUCGCAUCAUGUUUGCCAUGACAUGCCUAUCAUAUCAUGAUCAUGCUGAUUCUUUUUCCGUAGUAGUAAGAUGUGCAUCCGUUGGUUGUUGUAGCGCUUUGCUUCUUCCCGGAUAGGAUCGCGAAGUGGUGUGGUGAGAUACGACAAGUCCUCCGGAUGUCCCUCGGCAAGCUUUAACAGGCAAGCAUUUCCCUUAUACUUCUGCCUCUGCAGAAGUCGCUCACCUAUUUUAUUUUACCUUCUCCCUCAUGCUAUCCUUGAGUUGCGUUCUUGUCACGUGUCCCUUCCACUUGUUACCUCAAGCAGCCUAUAUUGCCUCCACCAACCACCUACAGCUAUUGUUUGGUUAUCGGGUCUGCCUUGUGAGUCAUAGUGCAUGCUAGUGCUGUUCUAUCUCGUUACCGUUACCGCUAUCUUAUCGGUUAUCUGUUGGGAAUCAUGACACAUGCUACAUGGUUAUAUAUGUUGAGGGAAUCGUGGUUACUUGUUAAUAGUUGUUAAGCGGAGGCAUCGGUGGGUCAGCUGAUCAUUUUGUGACGGCUCACUUGUGUUUCUUUAAAACCUAGGACCCCGAGUUCUUAUUAUCUGUUCCGAGACUGAGCGCUCUAACCACACGUGGGUGUGUUUCUGGGUCUCCCCUCGACCACUGCCGGAAUCUACAGCUUUGUCCAGUGGCCACAACUAGUUUGCAAUGUUUUACCAUUUGUCGUUUGCGUGUAUGCCAGCAUGUUACUUAUUUAUUUUGGGAAGCCCCUGGGUGCCAUGUAUCCCUUGUUUCUGGUAUGCACGUAUAGGUCGCGGAGCCUCUGUGAAGUGGUUUAUCGCCCCAGUGUGUGUUUAAACCACCUAGCACGCUGGCGCACAUAGCUAAGUCCGCUUCGGAGAUACGGCCGGACUUCGAUACGGGUUUAACUUGGUUAGCUGGCUUCCUGGACAUUGUUGUCAUGAAGGAGAGUGCGAGUCGUGAUAUCCACCUGUCGCAAGUGGGUUGAUCAUGCGUGUGGGCACAUUUGGGCAACCCCUGCAGAGUGUACAUCUUAUCGAUAAGCCGUGUCCACGGUUAUGGACGACUUGGAGCUGUAUGACUCGACCAUAGACAACUUACACCAGUUGUUUCAAUCAUAAUAACUUGUGUAGUAAGUUAGCACAACUUCAAUAAUAACUGGUUAAAACUUGACAACCGUGUGAGUGCCUUUGCAAGUACUUCUUGGUGAAGGGGGAACACAUCGGCUGUGUUAUGUUUGCAGAGUAUAGAACUGUUAGUUAUGUGCUCUCUCACCUUCUCUGAUUAGACGAAUGUUGUAGAGUGUCUCUAUAGGUUUUUAGUGCUUGCGCGCUGCCGCUUAACCCCACCAUAUUUCCUAUGACGUUCCUCUUGCAUCCUCUAAGUCCCCUGCGUGCCUCAAGUACAAAGGACGACUGGUUGACGAAUGCUUAUACGUCUUGAAGUCUUGUUAAGUACGAACCCGUACUUAUUGCUGCUUCUACGGGAUAUAACCGGGCAGGUAUGAAGAUAUGUUCGAUGAAGACGACGCUAGCAAGGUUACCCUUCUGGCUUGGCCUGGGCAGGGUUAUGGACGCCAUCGUUUAUCUUCAGGACUCUUAGUCCAAAUUUGUAUCUUGUCCGUACUCGGACAUAUUUGAUCUUAUGUAUGAUUUGGAUCUUUGUAUUGUAUAUUUGUAUCUUGACUCAUUGGAGUCGUUGUUGUAAUAUAUAUCUGUAUCUUGUGGGCUC
Molecule: long non-coding RNA, 3002 nt
Organism: Lolium perenne
Lineage: Eukaryota; Viridiplantae; Streptophyta; Magnoliopsida; Poales; Poaceae
Source: RefSeq, a predicted model, not a curated record